This is a non-coding RNA of Hordeum vulgare subsp. vulgare (domesticated barley), 137 nucleotides long. The record is from Rfam. Lineage: Eukaryota; Viridiplantae; Streptophyta; Magnoliopsida; Poales; Poaceae.
CUUAUACUCCCUUCCGUCCCAAGAUUCUUGUCUUAAGUUUGUUUAAAAAUGAAUGUAUUUAAAUACUAAAACGUGACUAGAUACAUUCAUAUCUAAACAAUUUUAAAACAAAAAAUUUAGGACGGAGGGAGUAUUAU